GUGAAGCCCCCCUCAAGAUGAGAUAUCCCAUCCGAAAGGAGUAAACCCCCUUGAAGACGACGAGGUUGAUAGGGCAGGGGUGGAAGUACGGUAACGUAUGGAGCUGACUGCUACUAAUAGGGUGAGGGCUUGACCAA
Molecule: ribosomal RNA, 137 nt
Filed under: Blautia sp. BIOML-A1
Lineage: Bacteria; Bacillati; Bacillota; Clostridia; Lachnospirales; Lachnospiraceae
Description: partial 23S ribosomal RNA
Rfam family: Bacterial large subunit ribosomal RNA
Source: RNAcentral